Camelina sativa (false flax) is the source of this 370-nucleotide long non-coding RNA. RefSeq lists it as uncharacterized. The record is from RefSeq and is a predicted model, not a curated record. NCBI's taxonomy places the organism in Eukaryota, Viridiplantae, Streptophyta, Magnoliopsida, Brassicales, Brassicaceae.
UUAAAAAAAAUUUGAGGGAAUAUCACUAAAAUAAUUGCUAUCACUAUGAAAACUUUAAUGGCAUUUUGUUUUACUAUCAUCUUCAUCAUAUCUUUUGUUCAUUGUCUUCAUACAACUGCUGAAAGUCCAGGUUAUCAACCUAGCCGAUUUUCGCGAUUACCAAUCAAAUGCUACAAGGAUAACAGGUGUGCAACUGAAGUCUGCAGUAGUAUUUGUCAUAGAAUAGGAUAUACUCAUGGUUUUUGUCUUACUAAAUCAAGAUGUUGUUGUGAGACUAUUUGAUACUAUAACUAACUAGCACUUCUACGAUGAAAUGAUAUAAUCGCAUGUACUAGUAUUUGGUUAAAAAAAUAAAUCUAUAAUUUUCACA